Molecule: non-coding RNA, 296 nt
Organism: Pelobates cultripes (western spadefoot toad)
Lineage: Eukaryota; Metazoa; Chordata; Amphibia; Anura; Pelobatidae
Source: the annotation of a GenBank genome assembly
CUUGUAAUUCAAGCACAACAUCCGAUUUUUGAUCUAGGGAAACACUGUUGCAGUGGAUUUCUGGAAGUCCCAAGUGACUCAAUAAGCACUCUUUAUAAUCUGGCUAAUUAGUGGGACCGCUGUUCUGUUUUUUUUUUGUUAAUUAGACAUUAAUGUAUGAUUCGUGACGUUAUGACAUGGUAGGUCACAGGAAAGAGCUACUGAGCUAUAGAUUUAUACACCAAAACUAAGACUUUGCCAAUAAAUAUACAAACAUUUUCGCUUUAUUUCUGUAGUACCUUGGAUCAAUACUUGCG